This 486-nucleotide ribosomal RNA is filed under the name uncultured bacterium. RNAcentral's name for it is "bacterial SSU rRNA". It matches the Rfam family "Bacterial small subunit ribosomal RNA", at positions 30 to 508 of the family's 1533-position model. The record is from RNAcentral.
AUUGAACGCUGGCGGCAUGCUUUACACAUGCAAGUCGAACGGCAGCACAAACUUCGGUUUGGUGGCGAGUGGCGAACGGGUGAGUAAUGCAUCGGAACGUGUCCUGAAGUGGGGGAUAACGCAUCGAAAGAUGCGCUAAUACCGCAUAAUCUCUGAGGAGAAAAGUGGGGGGAUCGAAAGACCUCAUGCUUUUGGAGCGGCCGAUGUCUGAUUAGCUAGUUGGUAGGGUAAAGGCCUACCAAGGCCACGAUCGGUAGCUGGUCUGAGAGGAUGAUCAGCCACACUGGGACUGAGACACGGCCCAGACUCCUACGGGAGGCAGCAGUGGGGAAUAUUGGACAAUGGGCGCAAGCCUGAUCCAGCAAUGCCGCGUGUGUGAAGAAGGCCUGCGGGUUGUAAAGCACUUUCAGUGGGGAAGAACAGAUUCGGGUCAAUACCCCGGAGCCCUGACGUUACCCACAGAAGAAGCACCGGCUAACUCCGUCG